AGUAAAUGUAUCCUAAUGGGCAGGCAAGCUACGCUCACUCCAACAAAUCAUUUCUAAUGAAUAGCACCUGGCACAUGCAUCACGUUUAAAUGCCAAAGAAAAUCCAUCUGCGUUAGCCAGUGAAAAGAGCCAGGCGUAUCUCGCUUUCUUUCUCUCCGAGGUAUGGAAGGGUUUUGGCCGGUGACGCUUCAGCGCGACUGUUUCCAAUCUUUUCCCAUUCCUGCAGUCCGGAGCCUGCGAGGAAGAUUUCCCAACAGCCGGGCUGCUCCCAGCGCACAAUGGAGAAGGUCCCUCCGAGUUGCAUGAAAGGUUUUAAAUAGAAACCAGCAUUUCUCUGUGCGGCGCACAAUGCUUUUCUGACCCUCGGCUGACCUCACCCUCAAAUCUGGGGUUCAUAGCCCCAGCCUUGAACCCGGCUCUGUUUUUUCAUGUUUGGCCUCUCUAUUUCCUGAGGUCAGGCAGCCCACUGCUCCAUUAGGAUGAGGCAACUCAGCGCUCAUUUGCCAAAACUGACAUCCUGGGAAAGUCCUGAUGAAUUUAUGAAUUAGAGGCUACAGAUGCCAGUAAAAGAAUUAAAGAUUUUUUUUUUCCCCCCAUUUGCAGGAAAUCAGCUGUUUCUUUUUCUGCAAAACACAGCCGCCCCUGAAUCCUGCAAAGGCUGCUUUGAUAGCACUUUUUUUUUGGAGGAGGAGGAAAAAACAAAAGUUAUGUUCGAAAGAAAGGAGAAAAGCGGGAGAAGGCAGAGGCACGAAAAGGAUUGAGCUGGAUCUGGGCGCAAUGGGAUUCAACGAAGUUCUCCUGGGAUGAGGUAGCCUCACCUUUGGACUGAGCAGUUGCAACAUCUAAGUAAAUAGGUAAAAUUUAUACCCAAUAAAUCAAUGUGUCAAGGGCCAGCAAGGAGAGGUCAAUUAACCAGAUGUAUGAGGCAAGAGGCAGCGACUAUCCAUUUCCGAAGAAGCUCCAAGGGUUAGUGUCUCUCCAGCACGCUGGAGGUCAGUUAACACUUUCCAGGCUUUCCCAGAUGAGAGCCAUUCCAGAGGGAAGAUGCAAAAUGAGCAAGUGCUGUGUAGCACAUCAAAAGGAUUGGGAAGCAUGGACAGAUGGAUUGAUGGAUGUGAUUAAUAAUCAAACCAAGAGCUUUUACUGGGAGUCAUGUGGAAAAUGUGGCUUUGGAAACAUCUGACUGGAGUCCAAACAAGCGGUGUUUUUCUUCCUUUCUUUUUUUUUUUGUCCCCAGCCCCCCCAUCCCCCUCCCCUGCUUUUCUUUCCUUGUCCAGAGUCACUAAUUAAAAUCUUUUAUUAUCUAUACCUGCUCCAAGUGGCAGCUCAAAGGGCUCCUGUUUUGCUGUGAUUUAUGUUUUGUGUAUCUCAGGCUUCAGCAGAAAAAUAAUUGACCAAAUAAUAAAAGGGCACUAAGUAGCUCUUCAUUAUAAAUGA
Molecule: long non-coding RNA, 1437 nt
Organism: Alligator mississippiensis (American alligator)
Lineage: Eukaryota; Metazoa; Chordata; Crocodylia; Alligatoridae
Exons: 2
Source: RefSeq, a predicted model, not a curated record